This 741-nucleotide ribosomal RNA is filed under the name uncultured Actinobacteridae bacterium. RNAcentral's name for it is "bacterial SSU rRNA". It matches the Rfam family "Bacterial small subunit ribosomal RNA", at positions 223 to 974 of the family's 1533-position model. The record is from RNAcentral. Lineage: Bacteria; Bacillati; Actinomycetota; Actinomycetes.
GGAUGAGCCCGCGGCCUAUCAGCUUGUUGGUGGGGUAAUGGCCUACCAAGGCUUCGACGGGUAGCCGGCCUGAGAGGGUGACCGGCCACACUGGGACUGAGACACGGCCCAGACUCCUACGGGAGGCAGCAGUGGGGAAUAUUGCGCAAUGGGCGAAAGCCUGACGCAGCGACGCCGCGUGGGGGAUGACGGCCUUCGGGUUGUAAACCUCUUUCAGCAGGGACGAAGCGAAAGUGACGGUACCUGCAGAAGAAGCACCGGCCAACUACGUGCCAGCAGCCGCGGUAAUACGUAGGGUGCAAGCGUUGUCCGGAAUUAUUGGGCGUAAAGAGCUCGUAGGCGGUUUGUUGCGUCGGCUGUGAAAACCUGAGGCUCAACCUCAGGCCUGCAGUCGAUACGAGCAAACUAGAGUGUUGCAGGGGAGACUGGAAUUCCUGGUGUAGCGGUGAAAUGCGCAGAUAUCAGGAGGAACACCGGUGGCGAAGGCGGGUCUCUGGGCAACAACUGACGCUGAGGAGCGAAAGCGUGGGGAGCGAACAGGAUUAGAUACCCUGGUAGUCCACGCCGUAAACGUUGGGCGCUAGGUGUGGGCGGAUAUCAACCCCGUCCGUGCCGAAGCUAACGCAUUAAGCACCCCGCCUGGGGAGUACGGCCGCAAGGCUAAAACUCAAAAGAAUUGACGGGGGCCCGCACAAGCGGCGGAGCAUGCGGCUUAAUUCGAUGCAACGCGAAGAACCUUAC